This is a non-coding RNA of Pelobates cultripes (western spadefoot toad), 365 nucleotides long. The record is from the annotation of a GenBank genome assembly. Lineage: Eukaryota; Metazoa; Chordata; Amphibia; Anura; Pelobatidae.
GAUUGCUGCUACUGAGUUAUUUUUUUUAAAUGAAUUGCAUUCAAUUGACAAUCACAGUGCUAAUAUUUUGACUGAUUAGCUGAGUGAAAAAAUUCCCCAACAAGAUAUUUUGGUUUAACUUUUACAGAUUGGUAGCAAAUGAACUUCAGUCCGCUGUUUAUGUAAUAAAACCAUAUUGCCUUCUGCUUAAUUUGCAAUUCUUACUGGAUAUAUGAUAUGUAUGGAUUUGUAUUGGGAUAUACAGUAUUUUACAUAACAUUUUAAAAUAAUACUACUAAUCUUACUCGACAAACAUGGUGCUACUGCCAAAUGUCAUGUUGUAUUUUGUAUGAGUAAUAAGUAAAAUAGUGAAAUUAUUAAAUGGU